This is a non-coding RNA of Salvelinus sp. IW2-2015, 430 nucleotides long. NCBI's taxonomy places the organism in Eukaryota, Metazoa, Chordata, Actinopteri, Salmoniformes, Salmonidae. The record is from RefSeq and is a predicted model, not a curated record.
UAGUAACCUGAAGGCAGUGGACAGGUAACACAGCUUCCUCUAUAUAGUAACCUGAAGGCAGUGGACAGGUGAAACUAACAGCUUCCUGUCUAUCGUGACAUAAAGGUAGUGGAGAGGAGAAACUAACAGCUUCCUGUCUAUCGUGACAUAAAAGCAGUGGAGAGGAGAACGUUUAAAUUAAGGCCAGCUGGGUUGACCAGGAGAGGAAGCCACAGUCGACUUUCUCAAUUCCUCCUCUAGGCUUCAUGGCACAGCUCCACAUCAAAACACGGUCCAUGGUAUCUUUCCCAGCUCCCUUAGCCCCUUCACCCCUAGGCAUUAGUGGAUUGGAUACGGUCAACAACGUAGACACAUUUCCACCUAGCCCAUCAGGGUUGUAUUCAUUAAUAAACACCGUAACAAAAUGUAUUGCAAUAGAAGAUUGAAAAAA